GCUUGCUCAGGAGUUAAGGAUCGUGAAGAUCUAUCCGCACUAUCCUACUUUAGGGUAUUAUGUUCUGGUAAUACCUUGUAUCCUGUUCCGGCGACGGUAACGGGUAAGGGGUGUUACAAUAUGUGUGAUUAUCCAAGUGCCCUAUCCAAUUUCGAAUGGUUCAUCGAGCAUCGAUAAGCUGUCAUCAAAUGUGCAAAAGUGAGUUAAAAUGAUCAGAUUUUGGAUUCAAGUUUCGAGCUUAGGAAUUGUCAGAGAAGCUUAUCAUGCUAUCGGCUGUCUUCGGUAUUUUAUAAGCUGAGUUUUCGAACCUAUGGCAUGUAUAGGCUAGAUUGUAAUUUGAAAUGUUGGAUUUUGGUUUUGUAUAAUCUAAGCCAUGCGAAAAUGGCUAACCCUUUUAUGUUUGAAUUCGGUUAAGUAUGGUUUAAAUUCAUUUUAGUCAUAAGGUUAUGUGCUAUGAAUGUAUAAUAUUUGUGUUAGGUACUACAAGCUUUAGAAAUGGUUGACGACUUAGGAUAUGCAUGUGAAUGGUUCGGCUAAGGUUAUUCAUGGAUAGAAGUAUAUGUGAUAUGCGAUUGAAGUGCUUGAUGA
Molecule: long non-coding RNA, 588 nt
Organism: Gossypium arboreum
Lineage: Eukaryota; Viridiplantae; Streptophyta; Magnoliopsida; Malvales; Malvaceae
Exons: 3
Source: RefSeq, a predicted model, not a curated record